RNAcentral lists this ribosomal RNA (253 nucleotides) under uncultured bacterium. Its description in RNAcentral is "partial 16S ribosomal RNA". It matches the Rfam family "Bacterial small subunit ribosomal RNA", at positions 524 to 776 of the family's 1533-position model. The record is from RNAcentral.
UACGUAGGGGGCAAGCGUUGUCCGGAAUCACUGGGCGUAAAGGGCGCGUAGGUGGCGCCCCAAGUCUGUGGUGAAAGCUCGAUGCUCAACAUCGAGUCGGCCACGGAAACUGGGGGGCUGGAGCACUGUAGAGGCUAAUGGAAUUCCGGGUGUAGCGGUGGAAUGCGUAGAGAUCCGGAAGAACACCGGUGGCGAAGGCGGUUAGCUGGGCAGUUGCUGACACUGAGGCGCGACAGCGUGGGGAGCAAACAGG